Molecule: long non-coding RNA, 593 nt
Filed under: Salmo salar (Atlantic salmon)
Lineage: Eukaryota; Metazoa; Chordata; Actinopteri; Salmoniformes; Salmonidae
Description: lncRNA (ENSSSAG00000101748.1)
Source: RNAcentral
AACUUGAUGAUUUCUUUUUACAAUUCAAGUUGGUAACAUCCCCAUACAGUACCUCUAUGGGGCAUUUCACAUCCAAAGUCAUCCUCUUUUUUUUAGGAAAAAGAAAAGGGCCUCAGAUACUUUACAGAUGCAGGUACUAUACAGACUCAGGUAAUAUACAGACUCAUGUACUAUACAGACUCAGGUACUAUACAGACUCAGGUACUAUACAGACUCAGGUACUAUACAGACUCAGGUAAUAUACAGACUCAGGUACUAUACAGACUCAGGUACUAUACAGACUCAGGUACUAUACAGACUCAGGUACUAUACAGACUCAGGUAAUAUACAGACUCCCACAAUGAAUUAUUAUUCUUUAUAAACAACAACCUUACAGUCUGGAAAGUUUUUAUUUUCAAAUAUCCUUCAUUGUCCAGGUAAAUAUGGUAUUACUCAUUGGAAAGCAUUGCUUGUGAUGAAGAGAUCUGCAAAACAACACAUUAGAAAGGACUGCAGGACUUUUUUUUCCUGGAGACGUAUGUCCAACAACGGGUUGCAACCAGCCAUUCUGAGCCCAACCGUUCAUGUUGGAAUCUCCUUCCUUCCCUAUGAGC